Molecule: ribosomal RNA, 374 nt
Filed under: uncultured organism
Description: partial 16S ribosomal RNA
Rfam family: Bacterial small subunit ribosomal RNA
Source: RNAcentral
GUAAGGUGCAAGCGUUAUCCGGAAUUAUUGGGCGUAAAGCGUUCGUAGGCGUUUUGAUAAGUCUUCUGUUAAAUCCACCCGCUCAACGGGUGACUCGUGGAGGAAACUAUCAAAAUAGAGAAUGGUAGGGGCAACUGGAAUGUCGCAUGUAGGGGUAAAAUCCGUUGAUAUGCGAUGGAACACCAAAAGCGAAGGCAGGUUGCUGGACCAUUUCUGACGCUGAGGAACGAAAGCGUGGGUAGCGAACAGGAUUAGAUACCCUGGUAGUCCACGCCGUAAACGAUGGAUACUCGAUGUAGGGAGGAAUCGACCCCUUUCUGUGUCUAAGCUAACGCGUUAAGUAUCCCGCCUGGGGAGUACGGUCGCAAAGAUUA